UCCCUGGUGGCUCAGUUGGUAAAGCGUCUGCCUACAAUGCGGGAAACCCGGGUUCAAUCCCUGGGUUGGGAA
RNAcentral lists this transfer RNA (72 nucleotides) under Capra hircus (goat). It matches the Rfam family "tRNA". From Rfam's summary of the family: Transfer RNA (tRNA) molecules are approximately 80 nucleotides in length. Their secondary structure includes four short double-helical elements and three loops (D, anti-codon, and T loops). RNAcentral also lists the same sequence under 1 other name. The record is from Rfam by way of RNAcentral. Lineage: Eukaryota; Metazoa; Chordata; Mammalia; Artiodactyla; Bovidae.